GGGGGAUGGCUGGAUCCUGGGCUGUGUCCCCGGCGCCCUGGGCUCCCGGGCAUGUGCUGCUGGAAUCGCGCUCCCGGCCAUGCAGCCCCUU
RNAcentral lists this microRNA precursor (91 nucleotides) under Canis lupus familiaris (dog). RNAcentral's name for it is "mir-8799 microRNA precursor family". It matches the Rfam family "mir-8799 microRNA precursor family". Lineage: Eukaryota; Metazoa; Chordata; Mammalia; Carnivora; Canidae. The record is from Rfam by way of RNAcentral.